GGGUGGCACAGACCAGGGGGUAGCGACUGUUUACCAAAAACACAGGUGCAUGCGAAGGCGAAAGCCGCUGUAUAUGCACUGACGCCUGCCCGGUGCCGGAAGGUUAAGAGGAUCCGUCAACUCUUCGGAGCGAAGCGGUGAAUUCAAGCCCCGGUAAACGGCGGUGGUAACUAUAACCAUCCUAAGGUAGCGAAAUUCCUUGUCGGGUAAGUUCCGACCUGCACGAAUGGCGUAACGACUUCCCCACUGUCUCGACCAGGAGCUCGGCGAAAUUGCAGUACGAGUAAAGAUGCUCGUUAAGCGCAGAAGGACGAAAAGACCCCGGGACCUUUACUAUACCUUGGUAUUGGCGUUAGGCGCGGAUUGUGUAGCAUAGGCGGGAGGCUUCGAAGCGGGUGCGCCAGCAUUCGUGGAGCCGCAAGGUGAAAUACCGCUCUGUUCUCGUUUGACGUCUAACCUCGACAAGUCAUCCUUGUCAGGGACAGUGCCUGGCGGGUAGUUCAACUGGGGCGGUUGCCUCCCAAAGAGUAACGGAGGCGCUCAAAGGUCCGCUCAGCCCGGUUGGCAAUCGGGUGUCGAGUGUAAUCGCACAAGCGGGCUUGACUGCGAGGACGACGGUCCGAGCAGGGACGAAAGUCGGAGAUAGUGAUCCGGUGCCGGCGCACGGGCGCGGCAUCGCUCAACGGAUAAAAGGUACCCCGGGGAUAACAGGCUGAUCAUUCCCAAGAGUCCAUAUCGACGGGAUGGUUUGGCACCUCGAUGUCGGCUCGUCGCAUCCUGGGGCUGGAGCAGGUCCCAAGGGUUCGGCUGUUCGCCGAUUAAAGCGGCACGCGAGCUGGGUUCAGAACGUCGUGAGACAGUUUGGUCUCUAUCCUCUGCGCUCGUUGGAAUCCUGAGGAGGCCUGCCCAUAGUACGAGAGGACCUGGGUGGACGAACCUCUGGUAUGCCGGUUGUCACGCCAGUGGCACGGCCGGUUGGCUACGUUCGGAAGGGAUAACCGCUGAAAGCAUCUAAGCGGGAAGCCUGCUCCAAGAUAAGCAUUCCGUGGAACCUUCGAGUUCCUGUAGUCCCCAUGCAGAACACGUGGUCGAUAGGCCGGACGUGGAAGCCCCGCGAGGGGUGGAGCCGACCGGUACUAACGGACGAAAGGCAACACUAA
RNAcentral lists this ribosomal RNA (1160 nucleotides) under human gut metagenome. RNAcentral describes it as "bacterial LSU rRNA". It matches the Rfam family "Bacterial large subunit ribosomal RNA", at positions 1774 to 2925 of the family's 2925-position model. The record is from RNAcentral.